Molecule: long non-coding RNA, 856 nt
Organism: Alligator mississippiensis (American alligator)
Lineage: Eukaryota; Metazoa; Chordata; Crocodylia; Alligatoridae
Exons: 5
Source: RefSeq, a predicted model, not a curated record
AAGCAAUGUCUUUUGGGGCUACAGAAGAUAUUGCAUUCUUGAUCACUUGCGAUGUGAUGGCAAAGCGGCCGAUGUAACAGGCAGAGGCCGGAAGAGCAUGCAUUGCAGAGGCAGGUGCUAAGAUGCCCAGUGUGAAUCUGGUACUUGCAAAGGUAGAAGCUGUUGCAUGUGAGCUAAGCCUGAAAGGGAUUAAAAGCAAUGCAUUGGCAGCAGAUGUAAGCAAACCUGAAGUUGUGCAAAGGAUAGCUGAGGCCGUGGUAGCUCGGUGGGGCACAAUUCAUAUCGUGUGUAACAGUGCUGGGCUCAAUGUGAAUUUUGCAAGUGAAGGGACUCCAUUAGAAGAACAAGACGAAACUUUUAAUGUUACCUUAUGAGGCUUGGUUUUAUGCUGCCAAGCUGCAGGCCGCAUUAUGCUGAAUCAAGGAUAUGGGAAGAUAAUUAACACAGCAUCUAUGGCAAGUUUAAUAGGGCAAUUGUAGACAUGGCGUGCGUCCACACUGAAGAUCUGAAGCCUCUUCGGAGGUGGUGCCUUGCUGAUAUUCCUGCUGGAAAGCUGGCUCAAGCAGUGGAUCUGCAGGCUGCCGUAAUGUGCUUGGCCUCCAAAGUUCCAGAUGACAUGACAGACCAUAAUUUGGCCUUUGUUGGUGGUCAGAGCUUGUGGUAGGAAGGAGCAAAGAACUUCCCUGCUUUGUGGCAUUUUCCAAACCUGAAAAUGAGGUCUGUAAGCAGCCAGAAAAGACCCUUCGUUCCAACUGAACUUUGCAAGGCUUUAUCCUGAUGUGACCUGACUGGCUCCUGCCCCCGCUCCCUUGUUUAUCAUCUGUGCUGGUGGCAAUGCUACAUGGAGAAUCCUUGA